This 504-nucleotide ribosomal RNA is filed under the name uncultured bacterium. Its description in RNAcentral is "bacterial SSU rRNA". It matches the Rfam family "Bacterial small subunit ribosomal RNA", at positions 29 to 515 of the family's 1533-position model. The record is from RNAcentral.
AUGAACGCUGGCGGCGUGCCUAAUACAUGCAAGUCGAGCGAACAGAUAAGGAGCUUGCUCCUUUGACGUUAGCGGCGGACGGGUGAGUAACACGUGGGUAACCUACCUAUAAGACUGGAAUAACUCCGGGAAACCGGGGCUAAUGCCGGAUAAUAUUUAGAACCGCAUGGUUCUAAAGUGAAAGAUGGUUUUACUAUCACUUAUAGAUGGACCCGCGCCGUAUUAGCUAGUUGGUGGGGUAAUGGCUUACCAAGGCAACGAUACGUAGCCGACCUGAGAGGGUGAUCGGCCACACUGGAACUGAGACACGGUCCAGACUCCUACGGGAGGCAGCAGUAGGGAAUCUUCCGCAAUGGGCGAAAGCCUGACGGAGCAACGCCGCGUGAGUGAUGAAGGUCUUCGGAUCGUAAAACUCUGUUAUUAGGGAAGAACAAAUGUGUAAGUAACUGUGCACGUCUUGACGGUACCUAAUCAGAAAGCCACGGCUAACUACGUGCCAGCAGC